RNAcentral lists this long non-coding RNA (682 nucleotides) under Gopherus agassizii (Agassiz's desert tortoise). RNAcentral's name for it is "lncRNA (ENSGAGG00000015576.1)". Lineage: Eukaryota; Metazoa; Chordata; Testudines; Testudinidae. The record is from RNAcentral.
CUUGGAGGAGCCAUAGCUGUCUAUAGGCGAUUGUAUCCAGGGGGUGGGUGUGGAGGAACAGGAGAAAUUUAGCAGUGUGCAAAAAAGGUAGAAGCAGCAUCAGGAAUAAAAGAAGGGUGGAUGGAUGGAUCGGGCUACGGGCGAGAAAUAUUCGUGUAGUAACUGAGCCACCAGCAUUUUACAGAGGAUCAAGACUGCUAAAAGCUUUUGAAAGGUCGUUCAUUCCAGCCUACAUUUGAAGUGGCUACAUGCAGCCAGAGAGACUGGAGUGUAUAACUCAGGAGUUAAAUAGUAACUUCCUCUUCAGGACUACUCAUGGUAUUAAGCACCAUGCCUGAUAAGUGUUUUCAGAAUCCAAGCCCCUAAAUUAAGACAGAAGUGGAGAUGACAACAUGAUUAUGCAUUCACUGGAGAAGCUAUUCCAUGUGGUUUGAAUCCAAUCCAAUCCCUGUGAAAGUCAACGGAAAGACUCCUAUCGAUGUUAUUCUUAGCUAUCCAGACAGUUUUGACUAGCUGCUUCCAGGGAAGAGAGAGAAAUCCAAAUGACCCAAGUGAAGGUUUCUCUGUGGAGGUUCACAUCCUUCUUGCAAAUCACUUUAAAAUGGCUUUCUACUUUCUGGCUUUCUAAAGUCAUCUUCAGAAAGCUGCAUUAAAGAAGACCUCAGGACCUGGUUUGCUUUCC